GCGCAUAGGGACUAGGAGUACAAUAAAUACAUAAUUAAUUCUAACACCCCCCCGCAAGCUGAUCGUCGGUAGAGCGGACGUUCAGAUUGGAGCGAAAGUCGGUGAAGACGGAGGAUGGAAGACCCUUGGUGAAGACAUCAGCGAACUGCGACGUGGUGGGCACAUGGAGGACACGAACAGCGCCAAUGGCCACCCGUUCACGGACAAAGUGAAGAUCGAUCUCCACGUGCUUGGUGCGCUGAUGUUGGACGGGGUUGGAGGAGAGGUAGACGGCGCUGACAUUGUCGCAGUAGACAAGGGAUGCAGUCUUCAGAGGGUGGUGGAGCUCCUGCAGAAGUUGUUGCAGCCACGAAAUUUCAGCGACUCCGUUAGCGACGGCGCGGUACUCAGCCUCGGCGCUUGACCGAGAGACUGUUGGCUGCCGCUUGGAUGACCAAGAGACAAGGCUGCCACCAAGGAAAACAGCAUAUCCGGAGGUGGAGCGGCGAGUGUCGGGGCAGCCAGCCCAGUCGGCAUCGGUAUACACAAUGAGCUGUGUGGGUGCAGAACGGGAUAUGAUCAAACCAUAGCCAAUAGUGCCCUGAAGGUACCGAAGAAUCCUCUUAGCAGCAGUAAGGUGAACCUCCCGGGGGUCAUGCAUAUGAAGGCAAAUCUGUUGGACAACAUAGGCAAUGUCGGGCCUUGUGAAGGUUAAGUACUGUAGGGCACCUGCAAGGCUGCGGUAGGCAGUGGGGUCAGCCACAGGGGAACCAGCAGCAGCAGGGACUUUGGCACAAGUGUCAACCGGGGUCGAGCAAGGUUUGCAGUCACUCAUGCCAUGACGGGCAAGGAUGUCCAGAAUGUAUUGCCGCUGAGAGAGGAAAAGAGUGUCCUUGGUGCGGUGAACAGCCACGCCAAGGAAAUGGUGCAGAGGGCCAAGAUCCUUCAUAGCAAACUCAUUCUUCAUAGCUGCAAUCACACGGUGGAGGAGCUGCUCGGAGGAAGCUGUGAGGACAAUGUCAUCCACAUAUAGAAGCAAGUAAACUGUAUCAGUGCUCCGGCGAUAUAUGAACAGAGAAGUGUCUGACUUUGCUUCGGUGAAUCCGAGAGACAACAGGAAGGAGGCAAACCGGCUGUACCAAGCACGCGGGGCCUGCUUCAAUCCAUAUAGAGAUUUAUUGAGUCUGCAUACAUGAUUGGGAAGAGCAGCAUCAACAAAUCCUGUGGGCUGAGAGCAGUAGACCGUCUCUGACAGGGUGCCAUGAAGGAAAGCGUUCUUCACAUCAAGUUGGUGAAUUGGCCAGUCCCGAGAGUGAGCCAAGGUGAGAACAGUGCGGACAGUAGCGGGCUUCACAACGGGGCUGAACGUCUCAUCGUAAUCGAUGCCAGGGCGUUGAGUGAACCCACGAAGUACCCAACGAGCCUUAUACCUGUCCAGAGAACCAUCAGCAUGAAAUUUGUGUUUGAAGAUCCAUUUCCCGGUGACCACAUUUGCCUUAGCUGGCCGGGGAACAAGCUCCUAGGUGCCGUUGUCCAUGAGGGCAGCAUGUUCUUCCAUUGCCUUGCGCCAAUGAGGAUCGGAGAGAGCAUCACGGCAGGAGCGUGGCAGAGGAGACAAAGCCUCAGUGUGCAUAGCAAAGCGAGGCUGCCGGUACCCAAUCUUCCCGCGGGUUGCCAUACCAUGAGUGUUGGCAACCGGGGGAAUGGUGACAGCUCCAGGUGGAAGAGGUGGACCACUCUUGACGUAGCGCGGCGGAGAUGGAACCAUGCUGGAGCGACGAGGAGGCGCCCCGGCGGGGGACGGGGGUGGCGGCGGCGUGCUGGGAGCAGGGGCGCGCCGGGAGUAGACAUGAACCACUGGUGGUUUUUCAAAGUGAACCACCUGGGACGCCUGCGACGCAGGAGCCUGCUGCGGGGCAGGGGCUUGCUGCGGGGCAGGGGGCGCCUCCAUGGGAACCACCGGGGGCGCCUGAGGUGCAGGAGCCUGCUGCGGGGCAGGGGGCACCGCCAUGGGCGCCGGAUGUGCAGGAGCCUGCUGCGGGGUAGGGGGCACCGCUAUGGGCGCCUGAGUCGUCACGGGCACCUGCUGUGGUGCAGGGGGCGCCGGCAGGGGCGCCUGAGCAGGGGACGCCGGGGCCUGCAGAGGCAGGGAGGUGCCCAAUGAUCUAGGCGCCAUGAAGCCAGGAGGGGGUGCCCUUGGUACAGAACCUACAGGGGGUGAGAAAACAGCUGGCAGAGAGUCAUCAUUAGUGAGGAAAUCAAGUUCGUGGGUAGGAGGUGAGGGCCGGCGAAGGCUGAAAGGGAAUGUUGUUUCAUCGAAAACAACAUGGCGAGAUAUAAUGACCCGGUUGGAGGUGAGGUCAAGGCACCUGUAGCCUUUAUGAUCAGGGGAGUACCCCAGGAACACGCACAGCGAGGAGCGGGGGGCGAGUUUGUGGGGAGUGGUGGCGGUGAGGUUAGGGUAGCAUGAGCAGCCGAAGGCUCGAAGAUCAUGGUAAGAAGGGAGAGUGCCAUGAAGGGCGAAGAAUGGGGUGCUCAUGUUAAGGGUUUUAGUGGGGAGACGGUUGAUAAGGUGGGGUGGCGGUGGCGAGAGCGUCGGCCCAGUAGGAGGGUGGCAUGGAUGCUUGGAAGAGUAGAGUGCGAGUGACGUUGUUGGCGGUGCGAAGCAUGCGCUCGGCCUUGCCAUUCUGCUGUGAGGUGUAGGGACAAGACAUGCGAAGGGAUACACCUUUGGCAAGAAAGAAAGUGCGAGACGCAGAGUUGUCAAACUCACGGCCGUUGUCACAUUGCACAGCUUUGAUGGUGCAACCGAACUGCGUGAGCACGUACGAGAAAAAAUUGGAAAGAGUAGUGAAAGUAUCAGACUUUAGUUUGAGGAGAAAAGUCCAAACAAAAUGCGAACAGUCGUCAAUAAUGACUAGAUAAUAUUUGAAACCCGAUACACUGACAAUUGGUGACGUCCACAAGUCACAAUGUAUCAAGUCAAAAUUUUUGGACGCUCUAGAAAAUGAAGAAGAAAAUGGUAGGCGAACAUGGCGUCCGAGCUGGCAAGCAUGACACAGGGAGGGAUCACCGGGUGUGCUGCUGCAGACAAUGGAGGACGUUUUGGCGAGGUGCUGGAGUGUAGAUGACCCAGGGUGACCGAGACGGCGGUGCCAAGUGGUUGAUGAAGGAGUGGCAACCAGGGCGCAGGGACCGGAAGGUGAUGACGGAAGCUGCAGGGUGUACAGAGGGCCCGAGCUGUCACAGCGAAGGAGGAGGUUCCUGGUACGAAGAUCCUUCACAGAAACACCAAGUGGGUCAAACUCAACUGAAACAAGAUUAUCGGAAGUAAAUUGACGAACGGACAGAAGAUUUUUGAUUAUGUCGGGGGCGACAAGGACAUUGUUGAGGCGGAACGGGCCAGGGAGUGUUGAGUAGCCGGAGCCCACAACAUGAAGAGUGGCACCGUUCCCUACAACAAUGGAAGAAGGAAAGGAGGAGGUAGGGGACAUGGUGACCAUACCGGGAUUCGCAGCAAUGUGCGAUGAGGCACCCGAGUCGAUGACCCACUCCGAAGGGUUCGGGGGAGGGAUGAGGGAGACCGUGCUGAACGCGUUGGCCAGUGACUCCGGGUUCCAGGGCGACCAAGCCGGAGGGGGCGCUUGUGGAGGCGCUGCAUAAUACGCCCCAGGCGCCGGGGGGUAGAACGUCGGGGGUGCGCCAGCCGCCAUAGCUUGAUGAGGCGAGCUGCCGACGUGAGGUGGGGGGCCACGCUGACCACCAGGGGUGGAACCGGGCCACAUGUGAAUGGACCCGGUCCACGGAUUGAGGAAGGAGGGCCAUGGAGUGGAACCCUGCGUGCUGCCUGGUGGAGCAGGGCUCGAGCCAGAGCCACUGGAGUUUCUCUGGCCGCGCCCGCCGCGGCGACGGCGACCACGGUUGUUGGGAGGCGAGGCCCCCCCGGUCGCCGCGGCUGCCUGAGGAGGACGCGGGAGGACAGGAGCAGACGCCUGCGUGGGAGCGUUGGUCUUGCGGGGCGCCGAAGUGACAAGGGCCGAGGGAGCCGCCGACGAAGGCGUCAUGUUCAGCUCAGCCAGGCGCAGGUCAGCGCGGACGUCGGUGAACGAAGGGAACGGCCUCUGGCGGGUGACAAGCUGAGCCAUGAACUGGAACCGUACGUUCAGACCACGCAGCACGUUCAAGACGAGCGUGCGAUCUGGAACAGGUUCGCCGAGGUCGGCAAGAGCGUCCGCCAUACCCUUCAUCUUGCGGCAGAAAUCGUCGAUGGAGAGGGCGCCUUGGGUGAGGGUGCGGAACUCAGCGUCGAGGAGCAUGGCACGGGAUUCGCGAUUGUUCAGAAACUGCUGCUCGAUCCCGAGCCAUGCCACCCGUGCAGAUAGACCGUCGGGCUCAUGAACAACGUCCAAGAGAUCGGCGGAGAUGGUGUUGAAGAGCCACGAGACGACGACGCAGUCCAUGCGAGCCCACGCCGGAUCAUCAGGACGGGCGGCGUCGCUGAGGACGUUGUCCUUCAAAGCGAAGCGGCCGAGGAUGAGCAGAAUGUAGCCACGCCACUUGGAAUAGUUGGAGGAGUUGAGGUCCAGAACAAUGGGGAUGAGGUUCUUGAUGUUCUGGACAGCAGCAGCUUGGCUGUGGAGAUGAGUGACGGCAGCAGCUUCAGAGGAGAAGGAGCGGGCGUCGUCCUCUUCAUGGUGGUCGUCAUCACGGCGGGGCUCGGGGCGAAGCCGUUCCCGGAGGUCCGCGGCCUGCCGCUCGAGGAGGUCCGCCUGGGCGCGCUCCUUUUCCAGGGCGUCGGCGGCAGCACGGACACGGUCUUGGGCCGCGGCGGCGGACUUGAGGAGGUCCGCCUCCGCCUGGAGUUGGAGGCUGCGCUCCAUGUUGGAGGAGCGGAGGGAGGUGGCUUCGUCUUCGAGCUUCUGGGCGGCGGCGGCAGCUUCGUCGCGGAGCUUCGUUGCGGCGGCCACAGCAGAGGCGGCCGAGCCUGAGGUGGCGGCCAUGGGGGCGCGGCGACGGCCGGGAAGGCGGCGCGCACAGCAGCCGAUGGGGCGGGCGUGGCACGAGGCACCGCGCGGACGCGGAGCGAGGCGGGCGCCGAGGGAGCGGAAGGGAUCGUGUUUAGAUUGAUACCAUAUUAGAGAAUAGUCAAAAGACUUAAUAAUGAUUACAGGGGUGAUUACACAUAUAUAUAGCAGAUAGAGGCAGCCCAAAGGGCCUGCGCAGCCAGAGGUGGCGCAUAGGGACUAGGAGUACAAUAAAUACAUAAUUAAUUCUAACACAACACAAGAUUACGUUUAAGACAGGAAACAAAGCAUAGUGGUUACAGCAAAAUAUAGGAGUUGCACAAGAACUUCAGGAAGUAGCCUAUACUGUUAAGAAAAAUGUACAUGGAUGGUUAGUGCAGUAAAGUACAUAUAUCAGAGAACAGCCCAUGGCACAGUUUAGUGAAAGUCACAAGCUGGCUUUCUCUACUUUGUUCCCAUAUUGUCCGUACAAACAUUUACUUAAUGAACUCUAUCAAAUGAAAUACCAGAAUCACUAGACAUACCUUGAACCAUCUUCUGCAAAGCCUCAAUGGCAGGCGUGUCAGACAUCACAUAAAUAGGAUUCCGUGUCAUGAUCUUGGAAAUGAUGGUUUGCUCCACCCUAAGCCCCUCAGCAAUCACCCUUGUAGCUAUAUCCUGCACCCCAAUUUGAAUACAAACAAAAAUGAACAAGUCAUACUGAAAGCAGCAAAAAUAGGCCAUCGUCUGCUUGGUUAAAAUGCAACUUACAAGGUUUUUUACUUCAAAUUACUGAGUAGAAAUUAUAGAACAUAAAAAUAUGCCAUCGUCUGCUUGGUUAAAAUGCAACUUACAAUGUUCUAGUCUUCUAGAUGCCUAACAGAAGUACAGUGCAAACCAUCAUCAUUAACCUGGACUGCUUCGAUCGUUUUAGGCAUAAACCAACUACUAAAACGAGUGCAACAGCGCCCUUCUGUCCCUAUUCCAUUUACGCAAAGGGAAAAAUAUGCAUUGGUAAAAGGAAAUUCCUAUGAGUCGUCCAAGUUUGGUAAAAGAAAAGGCUGAUCGAAAUCUCGAAAUAAAAUGGAACUUUGCUUUGACAGAAACUGACAAUUGCUAAGCUCAAAGCUCCAAACCAAGAAUAUAAUCCAAACACAGAUUUUCCCCACGAAGAUAUGUACUAUGUAGCAUCUUGGGCUCCUGUUACAUCAAAUUAAAAAAAACUCACCCUUUUCCUCAUAUCUCAAUCUCUAUAAAAGCGCACUGGAACACAUGUAACCAUGAAACUGAACCAGAAAAUUAAGAGAAGAGAAGAGAAGCCACCUUGUCGGUGACUAUGCCGGAGAGGAGGCCAUGGGCGUCGGUGAGCAGCACGGCGUCGACCCGCCUCGCCGCCAUCCGCCGGCACGCAUCCGACACCGUCGUCCCCUCCGGUAUCGUCAGCGCCUUGGACAGCCGCAGCUUCUUCACUGUCCUCUCACCCCUGGGCAAGCAAGCCCAAACCAAUUCAAAAUCCAACCUUUGGCGGUCCCGGCUCGAAACCGAGGCGACGAAACGGAAGGAGAAGAUUGACCAAAGCUUUCCGCGCGCUUACGUGAGCUGGUUCGGGGAGGCGGGCUUGGAUGCGGCCUUCCCGUUCCCAUUCCCGUUGGCGGCGGCGGCGGCAGCGGCGGCCGAGGGGUCGUCAGACUUGCGGGAGGAAGCUGAUGGCGGGCGGCUCCUCGUGCGGCGGCUCGGCGGCGCCGCGGAAGCGGCUGAGCUCAUGGCGAAAUUUGCGGCGGAGCUCCUUGAGGAUAGUGACGCGGCGGCGGCGGCGGCCGGCGAGGCAGGAGCAGAAGGUGCGGUCGUGAUUCUGCUCCGUUUCAACUCGCAGUCUCUGGUGCUCCUUCGUUAGCGUGUGGGAGUUUUGCGUUUCAGUCACUCCAGUUCUGGGUUAUCAUGAAAAAUUACAGAUAGUUUUGGUACUUUUUUGUGCUUUGAACAUGUUUUUCACGAUUCUUAUCGAAUUUAGGCCUGAUUUAUUUUAAAAAAUUUAAGCUCAUUCACAUCGAAUCUUUGGAUGCAUACAUAAAGCAUUAAAUAUAAAAUAAAGUAAAAAUUAAUUGCAUAGUUUGUAUGUAAUUUGCGAGACUAAUCUUUUGACUCUAUUUAGUUCAUGAUUAGAUAAAUACAAACGAAAGUACUACAGUAGCCAAAGCCGAAAAUUUUCAAGAACUAAACAAAAUCUUAAUUAAAACUUUUGACCUUGUGCUAUGUUAACCGUAAUUAGAUAUACCUUCUAUUUCAUGAAGUGCACUAAGGGAUAGCACAAAUGUGUACUUCGCGAGGCAAAAUGGAAGAGGAGGAAAGAUAAGGCAGUGACACACUUUAAAUUAUACUUAUAUUUUCAAUACAAGCUAUGGUGAAUUCUUGUCUUUUUAGAAACGGUGUUUUCUGAAAUCUUUUUGCGAGUAACCAUGAUAGAGAACUUAUGUACAAUGGCAAUUUGUAGUAGUAGUUUACUAAGUUGCAAAAACGCUUUGCUAGCACAAUACGAAUAAGGCCUUGUUUAGUUCCAAAAAAUUCUAGAAAAACGACACUGUAGCACUUUCGUUUUUAUUUGACAAACAUUAUCCAAUUAUGGAGUAACUAGGUUUAAAAUAUUCGUCUCGCGAUUUACAAACAAACUGCGUAAUUAGUUUUUAUUUUUAUCUAUAUUUAAUGCUUCAUGCAUAUGCCGUAAGGUUCGAUGUGACGGGAAAUUUUGAAAAGUUUUUGCUUUUUAAGGUGAACUAAACAGUAGCAUUUGUUUGUUCCGGAGGAAAAUCCUGCUUUUUUUUUAUAAAGCCGAGAAUAGGUACAAUAGUGUUGCUUACUAGAAAGAAUGUUGUGAUGAAACGGUUGUUAUAACACGACAGAUGCAGGGCCUGAUGGAAACAUUUGCCAAUCAACCACUACUAGUCGUAAUGUCGUACUAUUAUUUAGUAGCAAAAUAUACUAAUAUAAUUGCGCAGGCAAACAGCCAAUUAAACGCGCCAUUGAUUGAUUGAUUCGCAAAGCCGCGUCGCGUGCACCACAUGCCCCGCACGGCCGCAACGCCCGUAGGAGCAUAUACCCACCGUCCCCACAACGACCGCGUGGGCCCGGCCGCCGCAGGCUCGCGCGUCCACUCACGUGACGUGACGGUGCACCCGGGUCCUCGCAGCUUCUCACAAUUUUUGAACUUGCGCCCCGCACCCGCGGGACUGGGAGGGACUGGGGAGUAGAUGUGGAGUAGAGAUGGCAAGGAGUAAUUACCGCUGGGUAUAUGCCACCUAUAUUCUUACCCACGAGAAAAUAUUUUACCCGUUAAUUUAUCAUACUUGUGCAAGGGUAAGAGUUUUGGCUCAUACCUUUACCCAUGCGGGUAACAGGUAACCCAUAGGUUAUCUUUACCCAUGAUUCCAAGAAUACUUAAAAAAAAUAAAUACAUAUUUAAAUAUUUCAGGCUCCUAAUUUCAACCAAAGCAUCACAAGUUAUUAAUAAAAUCAUCAAAUAUACAAGCUCCAUGAACAUCUGAUCAAGUAAUUACUAGAUAUCAAGUGCCAAAAUUCACAAGUUCCCGUGUUGUGCGGCCGCUGCAAGGAGAUAGGGGAAAGGGGAGGGAGCAGAUGGGUGAGGGUCUAGAGUUUGACAGCAUUAUAUAUAAUUUUUAUUGGGCUUGGGCUGUGUAUGGUCAUUUUGGCUCAUGAUUCUAACUUAUUGAAUUGGGUUAAAAUUACCCAUGGGUUAACGGGUAUGGACAAUGCAGUCUCAUACCCUUACCCGCUUUACCCGCUGGGUAAAGAUUUUUUCUCAUUAUCUUAACCAUGGGUAAAAAAAAUAGCCAUACCCUUACUCUAAUGAGGUAAUGACCCAUCGGUUUUGGGUUUCGGAUAAAGAUUAUCAUCUUUAACGGGGAGGCAGGGAGGGAUGAGCGGCAAGGGCGCAAGGCCCCCUCAAACUUUGGGGUAAUUUCGUGCAGGUCCCUCCGGUGGAACGCGCAUGUGUGGGGCCAUGGCAAGAAACCGGCGGAGGGAGCUGGGUGGCUCGCGGCAUGCUAUUGCUUGUUGCUGUGUCAGUCAGCAAGCGACAGGGGAGACAAAAUUCUUGACGGCCAAGCCACGACACGACACGACAACCAGCUGCAGGAGGAGCACUCGCCGUCGCAGGAGCCAUGCCACCUGGCGGCGGAUAAUCUACUGCGUUGUUUGCUCCUUUUAUCCCGGUCUUCAACAUUGCUCAGGCCUUGGCCUUGUUUCGUUCAAAAAAUUUUAGAUUUCGCUACUGUAGUAUUUUUGUUUUUAUUUGACAAAUAUUAUCUAAUCAUAAAUUAAUUAGAAUUAAAAGAUUCAUCUCACGAUUUACAAAUAAACUGUGUAAUUAGUUUUUGUUUUUGUCUAUAUUUAGGGCCUGUUUGGUACAGCUCACAACAGCUUUGUGAGCUGUUUUUUUUUGCCAAACACUUAUUUCCAAAACAGCUUCAUGGGUGAAGCUGUUUUCCCCUCCUCUCACAAAAAUAUAAGUUGGGAUGAAGCUGAAAAAAAGUAGCUUAUUGCAGCUCUCUCUCUCAUUUCUCUCUCUCAACUAUGCAUGAAGUAGUUUGUGAAGCUAUUUUGCCAAACACUUUUUCCAAAACAGCUCAGCUUCAUCUAGAAAGUCACUCAUAAAGCUAUUUUCUAAAAAAACAGCUUUACUAGUGAAGUUGAGCUGUGCCAAACAAGCCCUUAAUACUUCAUGCAUGUGCCGCAAGAUUCGAUGUGACGGAGAAUUUUGAAAACUUUUUGGAUUUCGGGGUGAACUAAACAAGGCCCUUGUUUAGACACGAAAAAAAUUUGGAUUUUGCUACUGUAGCACUUUCGUUUGUUUGUGGUAAAUAUUGUCCAAUCAUAGAUUAACUAGAAUCAAAAGAUUCGUCUCGUGAUUUACAGGCAAACUGUAUAAUUAGUUUUAAAUCUCCUCCAACUUUCAAGCUCGAGAGAGGUGAAUCAGUUACCUAACAAUUCAGGGUCCAAUAUAUUUAAUUAAAAAAUUUGGAAGAACGUUUUUUUUAAUAAAAAACAACUUUUUGGAAAGAUAUGAAACGUGUUUAAGAUCUUCUCUCUAAGAGAAAGCUCUUCUUUCUUUGUGUUUUUUAGUAGAUGCUCUCUUUAUUUUGUUAUAAUUAUUAGUCUACGAUGAUGACCCAAACUAGGAGCUAAAGUGACUUUGAGAAUAUUACGACUCCACAAAAGUGUUAUGUAACCACCUCAUGCUUCAUCUUUUUAAGCAUCCAUGGAGUGUUACAAUUUUGUGCUAAUACUCUCUUGGCUCUCAAAUAUAUCAACUCCUAAAGUGGUUUUUAAAUCAAAAUGAGUUCCUUACACAAGCUAUACCAAGUUAUAUUCAUAUGAUUACCGAGGUUGGGGUGGCUCACUAUGGGGCGAAGGAGAGGUAAGACGACGUUGGGGACAAGGAAUGGGGGCGGGGCUCCUCGAGGUGGCAUGGCACUCCUUGAGGUGACGAGGAUGAAGGUUGCGGUGCUCGUGGCCGGCGGGAAGGGGGCGUGGCUCCUUGGGGCAACAUGGAUGAAGACGACGACACUACUAACGGCCGAUAGAGACAAAAACGGUGAUGAUGCUCAACAACGACAAACAAUGGAGGAGAUGAAAUGUUGAUGGCUAGGAGAUAAUGCUAGAGGUGGGGAGGCAAAGUUUUUGUUAUGUAGGGAGGCACUUCACUAAUGGAAGAGCUGUUUUGCCAAACGGUUUACUAAAAUGGCUUUAGCUCCAUCAAUAGAGUUGUUCAAGGAGCUAAAGCCUUCAAAAACAGCUUCACUGAUGAAAUAAAGCCGUGCAAAAUGGGGCCUAUGUGUUUUAAUGGUGCAAGAAGAAUGCUCAUGAAGAUAAGGCCACGAUUGAAACCAGAGCAUGCUGGGGGAGUGAGUCCAGGCACCUUGGUUAUUGCAAGAACUGCCCACUUGGUUGUAGGUCUGCUUCAUAGUUUUGGAUGGUCGUCGGGUUGUCCUUGAUCUAGUAGAAAAAUUAUUUUAAUCAUGAAAAAUUUAAGCUUUUGUUAGAUAUAUUCAAUAAAUGGUAUGAAAAUUUUUAUAAAUUUUAUGUUAUACAUUUUUCUUGGUUGCACGUUAUAUACCCAUGUUUGUAUGCAAACUUCAAAGUUUGACUUUCGCAUAAAUGACCCGUUUGGCACGGCUGGAGCUAUUUUGGGGGUUUUAGCUCCAUAAACAGCUAUAUUGGUAGAGCUAGAGCUGUUUUGGUAAAUCAUUUGGCAAAACAACUUCUUUUUUAAAAUAUGCUCUCACAAAACGUCAUAUAGGAUGAGGUGAAGUCGGGACAAGCUACUAUUUUUUUCUCCUUCAUACCUAAAGGCUCUAUGAGAGCACGUUUUAGGGGCUUCAUCGGUGGAGUCAUUUCAUUUUACGCCGUUUGGUAGAAAACGGCUCCAAACGACUUUUGAAGCAGAGAAGCCCUGCCAAAUGGGGUCAAAGUGUAUCUAUGUUGUAAAUAAUGUAUAUGCUCCAUUUAUUAAAGCUGUUUAAAAAGUUUACAGCAAGCGUAUACACCCAAAAUAUGCGUGUUUUUUAUUUUUUGGGGGGCCGCUUUUAGGUGGUAUUAGCAUUAAUUAGUGGUAAUCUGGACACAAAAUGUUAAAUUAUCCUUGUAAACCAAUUCAUUUUUUAUACUCCCUCUACCCCUAAACAAAUAGAUUUCUAGAGUUGUCAUAAGUCAAACUUUUAAAAUUUUAGUCGAAUUUCUAGAAAAAAACAUUAAGAUUUAUAAUUUCAAAUUAGUAACAUUAGAUUUACCAUUAAAUAUAUUUUCAUAAGGUGCUCAUUUUAUAUCAUAUAUUUUGUUUCUAUUUUCUAUAAAGUUAGUUAAACUUAAAAAAGUUUGGUUGGUAUGGAUUCUAGGAAUCGAUUUAUUUGGAGAUGGGGGGUAUCCGACGAAUAAUUAAAUGAACCAUAUGGUCUUAAAUAUAAUUUUUUUGUAUUUUUUGAAUUUUAUUGGGUGCAUGCAGUUUAAUUUUGAAUUUUUUUUGAUAUGCACACACAAAAUUACUUUGAACUAUAAAAAAUAGUGUGUUAUUCCAAAAAUUUCUAAAACUCGCGGAUAAUAAAAUUAGGAUGCAGAGGUUUUAUAUCAUAACAGUAAUAGAGACCUUAAAAAUAUUACAUAUAGGAUAACAAAGACUUUUAGAGAAAAGUUACAACAUUCUCCUCACUAGACCAAUGUUAGCAUCGAAAUCUAGAAAAACAUUAUAUUAUAGCCAACCCCAUGAAUAUUUAUCUAGCAUCCAAGUGGCCGAGUGGGGUAUCAAAGGUGCAAGAGCAUAUUGGAGCGGCGGACGAGUCACUAAGGGCGUCCCCAAUAACCUUUUUAAUAGCUAGUUGACCUGGAGCCCGAAAACAAUUAAAUAAUAAAAAGUAGAUAGUGGUAAAGUAUGUUAGUGAGUGAAAUUUUCUUGAAAAACGUGCGAGCUAAGCUCUUGGUUCAUCGCUAGCGAGAUGAGUUCUUCGUUUCUCUUUCUUCUAGAUUGGGCAGAUGUUCCUCCUAGCUAGCUGACUGUACCACCGUUGGGGACGCCCUAAUGCCUCUCGCUCAAAUGUGACUCCGUCUAAUAACUAACCGGAUCAUGCUAGCAUUGCUCCUAGUGCACCCUAGCUUCAGCGUGCCUCUAUCUUCAUGAACAUUCUUCUAGUAUCUGUAGUACAUCAUCUUGUUUUGACUAUAAAGAGAAGAUGUUUGUGGAGGGAUUUCUCCAGAAAAAGAGUUCCUCUCUCACAGAGAUCACAGAGAUCACGUAGCGUAGUUUGUCCUUGUUUGGUGAAAUGAAAAGGAUGCCGGCACCAGCGCCAUUGAUGUUUAAAGACCCAUCGAAGAACAUUGACCAGUGAUCGAAGACAUCUGGAGGGGGUGGUGCGUUGAGAUCUGUCCAUUCUGCGAUGAAACGACCAGGGCUUGAGACUUGACGGUUGUUCGACUCUAGAAGUCUAACAAAAAUGGACAUAGCUCCAUAGCCCAUUUUACAAUCCUGUCGUUGGCGUCCUUGUUGCGCAGGAUGUCCCCCAACGGAAAACUCGUGGUAACUAAGACGCGAUGGCCAUCGAAGUAUAUAGUGCUUCAGCUUCCUUGAGGAAAUUAAGAUGGCGUAGAUUAAUUUUUGUAUCUGGGGAUACCUAGUCUUAGACUCAUUUAGGACUUCGCUUAUGAAGUAUACUAGUCUCUAGACUUUGUAGAUGCGGCCUUGUUCGUCCCGCUCGACCACGAGCACUGUGGAAACGACCCGAUCAGUUGCUGCUAUAUAGAGGAGUAGGUCCUCCUUAGAUUGAGGUGCGGUGAGGACGAGUGGUGAGGUGAGGAAAGUUUUGAGCUAGGUGAAUGCAGCGUUGGCCUCUUCUGUCCAGGAGAAUUUUUUCGAUGCUUUUAGAAGUCUAAAGAAGGGAAGCCCUUUUUCCCCAGCCUGGAGAUAAACCGGCCGAGAGCAGACAUGCACCCCGUGAGCUUUUGAACGUCUUUUACGUUCUUGGGUGGUCGCAUAUCGAGCACCGCCUUGACUUUUGAGGGGUUUGGCCGUAUGCCAUCGCGACUGACGACGUUGGCGAGCAGUAUACCAUAGGGAACCCCAAAGAUGCAUUUUUUGGGGUUAAGCUUCCACUUUUAUUUAUUUAGCACUUUAAAAGUGCGGUCUAAGUUGUCGAUCAGGGUGCUUGCGUCCUUGGUUUUGACGACAACGUCAUCGACGUAAGCCUCGAUGAGGUCAUCACGUAUCUCGUCGUGGAGGCAUUGCUGAAUAGCGCGUUGAUAGGUGGCUCCGGCGUUUUUGAGUCCGAAGGACAUGGUGGUGUAGCAAUACGCACCGAAAGGAGUGAUGAAGGAAGUUUUGAUCUGGUCGUCUUCCUUUAGCGAGAUCUGGUGAUAACUAGAGUAGCAGUCGAGAAAAGAGAGUAGUUCGCAUCCAGUCGUUGAAUCGACCACCUCGUCUAUACGAGGGAGACUGAAAGGAUCUUUAGGACAGUGUUUUAUUGAGAUCAGUGUAAUCAACACACAUUCUCCAUUCAUUAUUCUUUUUUCUUACAAGGACCGGAUUGACGAGCCAAUCGGGGUGAUACACUUCUUUAAUAAACCCGGCUACUAAAAGUCGUGUAAUAUGUGUCCUAAUAGCCUCCUUUUUUCACGAGCGAACCGUCGUAGCUUCUGCUUGAUAGGUCUUGCGGUCUUCGAGACAUUUAAGGAGUGCUCGAUCAGGCUUCAUGGGACGCCGGGUAUGUCUGCGGGUUUCCUUGUGAAAACGCUCACGUUGUCCGUUAGAAAACAUGACGAGCGCGUCUUCCUAUUUGGCGUCCAGAUUGGCUCCGAUGAGAGCCGUCUUCUCUCGGCUGCCGUCGACUAGUUGUACUUCCUUAUGCUCCUUGGACUUGGAGCUUUUUCUUGGAGUCUCCUGCUCGGGUAGUUGGAGCUGGUCGGGUGGGAUUUCAGUGGCUUGUGCUACAGUUCCUGCCAUGCGAAUCGAGAGGUCAAUUGCCUCGGUGAUCUUGAAGCUUUCUUCUUCGCAAGUGUACACGGUGUAGACGUUGCCUCUUACGGUUAAGAUGCCCUUCUCGGUCGGCAUCUUGAGGACUAGGUAUGAGUAGUGUGGAACUGCCAUGAACUUGGUAAGCGAAGGACGACCUAGGAUUGCGUGGUAGGUCCCAUCCAAGUCGGCGACCACAAAGUUGACGAACUCUGUACGGAAGUGGUCUGGCGUUCCGAACUGGACGGGCAGCGUUAUCUGGCCAAGGGGUACUGAACUUUGACCCGGCAAGCCGCCCCGGAACUAAGCGUCAUACGGUUUCAGCUACGCCGGAGUUAGCUUGAGAGCAGGCAAGCUGUUGCGGAACAGGAUAUCGAUGGAGCUACCCCCGUCAACGAGCACACGCUCGAACCUGACGCUGUUGAUGCACGGGUCCAGGAUCAACGGGAAGCGCCCUGGUUCUAGGAUGGCGGCCCACUGGUCCUGCCUGUUGAAGGAAAUCUCUCAGUGCAACCAGGGAGGGAAUUUAGGAUCGGCGAUCAAACCAUCAGCGCUGUCCACAUUAAGGCAUGCCCGCUUCAAGAGCUUUCUUUCUCGUUUUGACUCAAUGGAGACUUUGUCUCCAAAGAUGGAGUGUACCACGUCGGUGGGACUGACAUAUUGGUGCCGUGGGUCCCUAUCCUGGUCAUCGUCUUCGUCUUCCUGACUCCGUCUGUCCUGUUUCCCGUUUUUCUUGGCGGCAUCUCCCUAUGUGGUCCGCUGUGUGUAGAUGCUUUUGAGGACACAACAUUCUUCCAUCGUGUGGUUGGACUUUGGAUGGAGUUGUCACGGUCCUUUCAGCAUCUUGUUGUAGUCUUCCCGGUAGUCUCGUCGUCCAUUGGGACACUUGACUAUGUUCACCUCGUGAUCGUUGUCGCAAGGUCGCUUGCCUCUGAAAUCGUCACGAUUUUCACGACGCCUGUCCCACCCUUCUCGGUGGUCGCGGUUGUCACCGCGGCGAGGAUUCCGGUUGUCAAAAUGCCCACGGCUGUCGUCUCGGCGGGGAGGCUGCUCGGCUCCUCUUACAUCUUCUCGGAUGAGCUUUUCUGCGUCGUCGGCGUCGGCGUAGUUUUUGGCCGUGGUGAGGAGCUCGGCGACCGUGGUCGGCCUUUUGCGCAGUAGCUUGCUUCUUAAUGCUUCGUGGAAGCGUAGGCCCUUGAUGAAGACCGAUAUGGCCUCGUCAUGAGAAAUCUUCGGAAUCUUGAGGCGCAUAUCCGAGAAGCGUCGGAUGUAAUCGCGCAAGGGCUCAUUCUUCCUGUCCCUUAUCCUCUCGAGAUCGUAUUUGUUUCUAGGCUGCUCGCAGGUAGCAAUGAAAUUAUCAAUAAACGCCUGGCGUAAUUCCUCCCAAGAAUCGAAAGAGUCUUCGAGUAGACCAAGGAGCCAUUGGUGGCCAGCUUGGUCGAGGACGAGUGGGAAGUAAUUUGCCAUGACGUGCUCGUCCCCUACUGCUGAUCGGACUGCGAUCUCGUAAAGAGUGAUCCAGUUUUCGGGAUUCUCCUUGCCAUCGUACUUUUUAAGCUUCUCAAGCUUGAAGUUGCGGGGCCAUACGACUUGGCGAAGGUGUGAGGAGAACUGUUUUAGGCCGGGGGGGCCAUGUGCUGCAUCGUACUCGAUGCGUCGCACGUUUUCGUGUACUGCUCGUUCUGUAAUGCGCCUGUUGAUGCGCUCGCGGACAUCCUUAGGAGGGAUGUUGUGUCGUAGAUCUCGGUCUUGGUUCACCUCCUGACCAUGUCUGCGUCUUUGUUCGUGGUAACUGUCAGCGUCCCGACCACGAUUGUCGCGAUGGGUGUCCUUCCUUUGAUUAUUGAUAGGUGAACGGCUACGACGGUGUCCACCGGGUCACGGUGAGGUGCGGCUGCGAUGAGUCUGGUCAGAGGUGACCUCCGUAUAGGAGACGGCUUGGACCCUUUUGAGCAGAGUAGCGGUCUGUCCUAUGGUCGCGAUCAGAUGCGCUCGUAUGUUGGUACGAACGUCCUGAUAUUCUGGAGUAUCCGGAAGUCGAUCAAGAUUUGCCAUGGCGACGGCCACGUUGGCACUUGGUGUCUUGAACACUUGCUGAUUUCCAACCAUGUCAAAAGCAUCGUCAAGGUUGUUUGGAGUUAAUUGCCGCUCCUCAUCUGCUCGCCGCUGAGCACGAUCGGCGUUGCGCUGUUCGUGCUGUUGUCUUUGUUCGUCGGUUUCGCCGUUAACAACUGGUUCGUCAUUGCUGACGUUGAAAACCAGAUCUCCUCGUCGAGGUGGAAAGACGGGAAAGCGAGAAAAACCCGGGGGUAAGGUGGUAGAUCCAAGCAGUAGUCUUCGUCCUCGUGGUGUAAAAUCUCGGUAGGGACAGAUCCUGUGCUAGAGUUUGUGUUGGUGGCCUUGUCGUCUGGUAGAGUUCGGAUGGAUACCAUGUUGACAAAGUGACGAGCUGACCUACUGGUUUGCCCCGGCGACAAUCCCAUCUUCCCGAAUAGAGAAUCGGUAUGCCGCGAAAAUUGAUUAGCCGCGUUGCUCAGACCAUGAGGGAAGUUUUGGUCUGGUGAGGCUGUCUUGAACUUGACAGUCCGUCCCGCGGUGGUCGAUGUUAUCGUCAAGAAUGUCUCCAGUCGUUCGUGCGUGGUGACACGAGUUGGUCGAUGGGAGUCGAAAAAAAUUUGAAGUUGCCGCUUGAUCGGGCUUGCGUGAAAUCGAAUCCACCAGGUUGGAGGCUUCGAGAAGUUUGUGGUCGGCGCGAUCGAGGGCUUGAAGAAGAUCCGAGUUGUCGACUCGCUUUGCCUUGUAGCGAGGGAGCGGAGGUCGGGCCCUCGGGGUCGGCGUGAUCGGAGUCGACGCCUUUGUUGUCCCAGAUUGGAUCUGAGUUUCUUCCAGAGUCGUGGUCGUAAGGCCGCCGUCGCGAGUUGUCCAAGUGAUCUGCCCAACAGUGAACGUGAGGCCUUCAGCCACGGCCGCGGAAGUUGGGAUGAUGACCAUCUUGUUCGUCUGGGAAGCUGUACGCACACCCCCUACCUGGCGCGCCACUGUCGACGAAAGCUAGUCGGCAGUCUACCCUAGGGUAUACCCACGGUUGUAGUUUAUCGGCAGACAGGUGUGCAAGCUACGAACUUGAUGGUGACGCAAGACACGGACAAGGUUUUUAUCCAGGUUCGGCUGCCGUGUGGGCGUAAUACCUACGUCCUGCGUCUGAUUGUAUUGGAUUGUGUUGAGUUGAGAUGAAUUGUCUUAGGGGGGUCCCUUGCCUCUCCUUAUAUAGUUCAGAGGACAGGGUUACAGAUCUGGAAACUAAUCCUAGUCGGUUACAAUUGCCAUAGAUGACACGAUAUCAAUUCCUAUUCUAACCGACUAGAAUCUGGUUUGAUCUCCACGUCUUGUUUCCUUGCGCGAAACUCCGAGCAGCUGGAUCAAGCCUCGAACUCGUCUCGUAAUGGGCCAAGCCUCCUAGCCCAAGUCUGGCCGUAAGGGUAUAGGGGUUUAUACCCCCACAGGAUUCAUAUGAAACUACAAGCACGGGACCUUAACUGUUUAUGGAGUGGGGUUCAUUUGGCUGAUAAGUCAUAACAAAAAGUAUAGUAGACUGAUAAGCUCAAACGAACAAGCUAAGGUGAAUGACCACCGUCAGGUCAAUUAAAAAACCAGACAGUAAUGUCAUUAUGUCGCUGCCAGGUUAAGUACGAUCAGGUAUUGGUAUAUCAUUGCCGGGUUAAAGUUCCACCGGACAGUAAUAGGUGUCAUCACUGUUGGGUCUCUAGGAUCCACAAUCAUUUGCCGAAUUCUAGUUCAUAUGACCGACCGCACAGGUCCUGUCUCCGCACUUGAAUAUGGACAAGCACAGACAAGAAGGUACGUCGGCUGGAAAUGCCUUUAUAACUGGUACUCCAAAGAGAUGCUGAUGUGUGACUGCUUGCUCGCUGUUAUGAACUACGUAUAUGGCACCUUUUUGUAUUGCCAAUUUUUUGCUAUAUUCGAUCGUUUGUGAGAGACAGCUACAUGGCAUGCCAUAUUAUUGGUUCAUUGUAAAAGAAAGAUAGAGGCAUAGGAAAGUUGUAAUACAAUCUGAUAAGGGUCUUUGUCCUCCCCCCCCCCCCCUCCCCACCACACACACACCACACACACCCCAAUUUAUUUUCUACUGUGUUAUCUUGCACUACUAACGGACAAUGGCUGCAGCACCGGUCUUGACAUUAGAUUAAAAUCCAUACAUCUACUAAGAAUUUAGACUUACUUUCUCCGUCCACGAAAGAAUCAAUUUCUAAAACCUGUACUAGUCAAAUUUUGUUAAGUUUGACUAACUUUAUAGAAAAGAGUAACAACAUCUAUGAAAUGUGCAUCAUAUGAAAAUAUAUUCUAUGAUGAAUCUAAUGAUACUAAUUUGAUACCAUAAAUCUUAACAUUUUUUUUCUAGAAAUUUAGUCAAAGUUUAAAAAAAUUGACUUAAGAUAACUCUAAAAAUUGAUUCUUUCAUGUACGGAGCGAGCAAUUCAUUUCUAAUCAAUUCAGCACUUUUUUCUCCAGUCUAGCAUCGUCUUGUUCGUUGUUUUUUUAAAAAACAAACAAAUUAGGCCAGAGAUCAGCUCCUGCCGAUUAUAUUAAAAAGAAGAAGCCCACAUUGGUAAUACAACAAUGCAACAUCAACAAACCUAAGACAAGUGAACGGCGACGAAACCAACGACAAAGAAAGCAACUACCAAGGUAAACAACAAGGCAACAUUAACUAAACUGACAACAUUAACAACGAAGCGAAGAGGAAAAGAGAUCCCCGUCACAAGAUCUCAGAAAGCACGACCUUUUGUACACAUGAGAGCAAGUCCACUCAUACAAUAUUUAGCUAUUCACUAUUAAUACAUGGCCCACUUAUCUCUCUCAUAAAGUUUCUUGGUUUUUGUGUCUAAGCUGGCUGUAAGCUUAUUACAGCCUGCUUCUCCUCUCUCUCCUCCCUUCUCUCCUCCACAUCAGCAUUUAGCCAGCUUACAGUCCACCAUAAUACUGAGUGACUCAAGUGACUCAAGGAGGUCUGCUGGCAAUAGUUCUUUCACACACAUAUUUUUGAAUUGCAUCAUCAUUGAGCUCCUUGUCAUUCCUAACAAUCCCCAACUCUGCAUAUUUGUUGCUUUUCUGGGUAUACCACUGUGUCCAUAUUAUUCUUACGUGCACGUAUACAAGUGAGGGGAUCAUUCAUUAGAAUCAUGAGCAUCUUGUGUCGAUUUGAUAUAAUCCAUUCUGAUCUUCUUCAGUGUCACCACCACAUUGCUCAUUGUCGUUCUGUGCUCAGGCGACUCAGACAAGCAGAACAACCCCAACUGAAACACUGCCACAAGAAAGCCAUCCAGAUUACUGGUACAACAAGAGCCAUCAUGACCAUGUAGUAGACCAUCAUCCACCACGUCAACAAGAUGUCCGGGAAAUGCUUGAUGGACCCACUGCCUGAUGCUCAAUUCUCCAACGAACAUACCAUCUGUGGGUCUCUUCCCUGUGAACACUUCAAGUAGCAUGAUCCCAUAGCUGAACACGUCGCUCAUCCAUGAUGCCUUUCCAAGAGAACCGUACUCUGCUCAUCAAGAAAUCAUAGGUAUAAAAGUUGUAGCAUGAAUAAUCGUCAAUAAUUUUUUUAAGACACGAUCGAUGACCAGGCAAUUAACAAAAUUGAUUUAAUUAGUAGAGUAUAACAGCAGCAACAAGUACCUGGUGCCAUGUACCCAACUGUUCCAGGCAUGCUUGCAGAGAUCAUGGAACUAUCACCACCAAGCAGCAACCUUGCAAUCCCAAAAUCCGCCACAUGUGCAGUCAUGUCCUCAUCAAAUAGUAUGUUGCUAGUGUUGAAGUGUUCUAAAUUCAACGUGAUGCUUUCUCUAUGAAUAGCAUAUGUGCGUGAAGGAAUUGCAUGCACAUUGUAUGGCUAUGGUUGACAAAAGAAAUGUGGUUGCAUGACAUUCGCAAGGUCAUGGUCUUCAAGAGAGAUGCGUGAUCUUCGUCACACUCCUUGCGCACAGCCAUGGAGUAAUAUUGUUGGAUGGCAUGCAUAGGCUAUGAAUAGUCAUUUGCUCAGAAUAGAGUUCCACCAAGAUGACUAUAUAUUUCAUUCUCUUGUAAGCCACCGCAUGGUGUUGUAACUUGUAACCCGACACUUGAAAAUAGUAAGAAGAGUUGCUGGCUGGCGCCCGUGGUUUUUUCCCUUCGCAUUGGAGGGGUUUUCCACGUAAAUCGUGUGUCUCCGCUGUGAUUGAUUUCGUUUACUUUAUAUUUCUAUACGUCGAUUUCUAACAAGUGGUACCAGAGCUUUGGUUGCUAUUAGGGUUCAUGUCGACGUCGAUGAAGUUCGAUCUUCCGCUGUUGAACUACGACACACGGUUCUCGCUAUGGCAAGUCAAGAUGCGGGGGAUUCUGGCGCAGACUCAUGACUAUGAUGAGGCGCUGGAUAAUUUCGGCAAGAGGAAGGCCGAGUGGACUCCUGAGGAGACCCGCAAGGAUCAGAAGGCGCUCGCACUAAUCCAGCUAUAUCUUCAUAAUGAUAUUUUGCAGGAGUGUUUGAAGGAGAAAACUUCUGCAGAACUAUGGCUGAAACUGGAACCGAUCUGUAGGUCCAAGGAUUUAACCAGUAAGAUGCAGAUGAAGAUGAAGCUGUUCACUCUAAAGAUGAAGGAGGAGGAUUCGGUGAUGACCCACAUCGCUGAAUUCAAGAAGAUUGUGGCUGAUCUAGUGUCGAUGGAGGUGAAGUAUGAUGAUGAGGACUUAGGUCUUUUACUUCUAUGUUCAUUGCCAAAUUCGUAUGCAAAUUUCCGUGACACCAUACUUUUAAGCCGUGAUGAACUAACCCUAAAGGAAGUUUAUGAGGCUCUCCAGUCUAGGGAGAAGAUGAAAGGCAUGGUGCAGUAUGACGGGUCGUCGUCCUCCAAGGGCGAAGCUUUGCAUGUGAGAGGCAGAUCAGAGCAUAGAUACUCCAAUGAUAGUCGUGACAAGAGCUACGAUGGAGAGGCCGUUCAAAGUCCAAGCCGCCUGGUAAUAAAAAAUUCUAUGUUUACUGCAAGUUGAAAAAUCAUAAUGUUGAGGACUGCAGAAAACUAAAGAAUAAGGAGAAGAAAAACAACAAGUCGGCUGGUAAGGUCUCUAUUGUUGCUGCUGCUGCUUCUGAUGAUGAUUCUGGAGAUUGUCUGGUAGUAUUUGCUGGUUGUGUUGCAAGUCAUGAUGAAUGGAUUCUUGAUUCCGCAUGUUCAUUUCAUAUUUGCACUAACAGAAAUUGGUUUAGUUCAUAUGAGCCUGUGCAGAAAGGGAAUGUUGUGCGGAUGGGAGAUGAUAACCCAUGUGAGAUCGUGGGAAUAGGAUCAGUUCAGAUCAAGACUGAUGAUGGCAUGACACGCAUACUGAAGAAUGUCAGGUAUAUUCUAGGGAUGUCUAGAAAUCUUAUCUCAUUGAGCACGCUAGAUGCAGAAGGUUACAAAUAUUCCGGUUCAAAUGGCGUUCUAAAGGUAUCUAAAGGUUCUCUUGUUUGCCUAAAAGGUGAUAUGAAUUCUGCACAUUUAUAUGUCCUUAGAGGGUGUACUUUACCUGGUUCUGAUUCUAUUGCUUCCGCUGUUACUAAUGAUGAACAUAGUAAAACUAACCUUUGGCAUAUGCGUUUGAGACAUAUGAGUAAACUUGGUAUGGCAGAAUUGGUGAAGAGAAACUUGUUGAAGGGCUGCACUCCGAGUAACAUGAAAUUUUGUGAGUAUUGUAUUUUCGGGAAGCAUAAAAGGGUACACUUUAACACUUCGGUUCACACCACAAAAGGUACUCUUGAUUAUGUUCAUACUGAUUUGUGGGGUCCUUCUAAGAAGCCCUCACUUGGUGGUGCUCGUUAUAUGCUUACAAUUAUUGAUGAUUACUCUAGAAGGGUUUGGCCUUAUUUUCUGAAACAUAAAGAUGAUACUUUUGAUGCUUUUAAGAACUGGAAAGUAAUGAUAGAAAGGCAAACUGAAAGGAAGGUAAAAUUGCUUCGUACUGAUAAUGGUGGAGAAUUUUGUUCGUAUGCCUUUAAUGAUUAUUGCAAACAGGAAGGUAUUGUUCGGCAUCACACCAUACCCCAUACUCCACAUCAGAAUGGUGUGGCUGAACGUAUGAAUAGAACCAUCAUAUCCAAGGCCCGUUGCAUGCUGUCUAAUGCCACGAUGAGCAAGCAGUUUUGGGCUGAAGCUGCAAAUACUGCCUGUUACUUGAUAAACAGGUCGCCUUCUAUUCCACUUAAUAAGAAAACUCCUAUUGAGGUAUGGUCUGGUACACCUGCAGAUUAUUCACAGUUGAAAGUUUUUGGAUGCACUCCUUAUGCUCAUGUUGAUAAUGGAAAAUUAGAGCCUAGAGCUGUUAAGUGUCUUUUUCUUGGUUAUAGCUCGGGAGUCAAGGGUUAUAAACUGUGGAAUCCCGAUACAGGAAAGACUUUUAUGAGCAGAAGUGUUGUUUUCAACGAAUCUGUGAUGUUUACUGACAAUUUGCCCUCAGAUCAUGUUCCAAAAACAGAGCUGCAGUGUAUGCGCAUGCAGGUGGAGCAUGUUGAUGAUGAUAUACACAUACAGGUGGAGCAUGUUGAUGAGCAUGAUGACCAUGCUAAUGAUGUUGCUGAUGAUGAUGCUCAUGAUGAUGUUCAGCAAACUCCUAUUUUGCAGCAAGAGGAGGAUUUACCUAUUGCUCAAAGCAAGUCAAAAAGGACAGUUGUACCUCCCAAACGUCUCAUUGAAGAAUGUAAUUUGUCUUACUAUGCUUUGAGUUGUGCUGAACAGGUGGAGAAUGUUCAUGAGCCAGCAACCUACAAAGAGGCUGUUCGUUGUGGUGAUAGUGAAAAUUGGAUUUCUGCUAUGCAUGAGGAGAUGUAGUCUCUUGAGAAGAACAGUACAUGGGAGGUAGUACCUUUGCCUAAGAAAGAGAAGACCAUCAACUGCAAAUGGAUCUUCAAGAGAAAGGAGGGUUUAUCUCCAAGUGAGCCUCCAAAGUACAAGGCAAGGUUAGUAGCCAAAGGAUAUAGUCAAAUUCUGGGUGUUGACUAUAAUGAUGUAUUCUCUCCAGUGGUAAAACGUAGUUCAAUUCGUACUUUCCUAAGUAUUGUUGCUUCACAUGAUCUUGAGCUUGAGCAGUUAGAUGUGAAGACUGCGUUUUUACAUGGAGAGCUUGAGGAGGACAUAUACAUGGACCAACCGGAAGGGUUCAUAGUGCCUGGCAAGGAGAAAUAUGUGUGCAAGUUGAAGCGAUCCUUGUAUGGUUUGAAACAGUCCCCUCGUCAGUGGAACAAGAGGUUUGAUUCAUUUAUGUUGUCACACAGUUUUAAAAGAUCUAAAUAUGAUAGUUGUGUAUACAUCAAGCAUGUUAAUGGAUCACCUAUAUAUUUGUUGUUAUAUGUUGAUGAUAUGUUGAUUGCUGCCAAGCGUAAGAUUGAAAUCACUAGGUUAAAGAAGUUAUUGAGUAGUGAGUUUGAUAUGAAAGAUCUUGGUAGUGCUAAGAAAAUUCUUGGUAUGGAAAUUAGUAGAGACAGAAAAUCUGGUUUGCUAUUUCUAAGUCAACAAAAUUAUAUCAAGAAAGUUCUUCAGCGUUUCAACAUGCAGAAUGCUAAGGCUGUUAGUACCCCUAUUGCACCUCAAUUUAAGUUGUCAGCUGCUCAGUGUCCUAGUACAGAUGCAGAGACUGAUUACAUGUCAAGGGUUCCAUAUUCUAGUGCUGUUGGGUCUUUGAUGUAUGCCAUGAUUUGCUCUCGUCCAAAUUUAUCAUAUGCUAUGAGUCUUGUUAGCAGAUAUAUGUCUAAUCCUGGUAAAGAACAUUGGAGGGCAGUUCAGUAGAUUUUCACGUACCUCAGAGGCACAGCAGAUUCCAGUUUGAAGUUUGGAAGAACUGAUAAGGGUCUCAUUGGUUAUGUGGAUUCAGAUUAUGCUGCUGAUCUGGACAGGCGAAGAUCACUUACAGGUUAUAUGUUUACUGUUGACAGUUGUGCUGUGAGUUGGAGGGCUACUUUACAGUCUGUUGUUGCUUUGUCUACUACUGAAGCAGAAUAUAUGGCUAUUUGUGAAGCGUGCAAAGAAUUAAUUUGGCUAAAAGGUUUGUACGCUGAGCUGUGUGGAGUUGAAUCUUGCAUAAGUUUGCAUUGUGAUAGUCAAAGUGCAAUUUACCUCACUAAAGAUCAGAUAUUCCAUGAGAGAACUAAGCACAUUGAUAUCAAGUAUCAUUUUGUGCGUGAUGUGAUUGAAGAAGGUAAGCUGAAGGUAUGCAAGAUCAGUACUCAUGAUAAUCCUGCUGAUAUGAUGACUAAACCUGUCCCUGUUGCUAAGUUUGAGCUGUGCUCAAGCUUAGUUGGUUUAGUGGAUUAGCCUAAGAGGCUAUUUGGCGCUAGCAAUAUUUUUCUAUGUUAUGUUCAAGAUGAAGGUGUUGAUUUAUGAUACAAGAUGAAUUUGUCUCAAGGUGGAGUUUGUUGAAGUGUUCCAAAUUCAACGUGAUGCUUUCUCUAUGAAUAGCAUAUGUGCGUGAAGGAAUUGCAUGCACAUUGUAUGGCUAUGGUUGGCAAAAGAAAUGUGGUUGCAUGACAUUCGCAAGGUCAUGGUCUUCAAGAGAGAUGCGUGAUCUUCGUCACACUCCUUGCGCACAGCCAUGAAGUAAUAUUGUUGGAUGGCAUGCAUAGGCUAUGAAUAGUCAUUUGCUCAGAAUAGAGUUCCACCAAGAUGACUAUAUAUUUCAUUCUCUUGUAAGCCACCGCAUGGUGUUGUAACUUGUAACCCGACACUUGAAAAUAGUGAGAAGAGUUGAUGGCUGGCGCCCGUGGUUUUUCCCCUUCGCAUUGGAGGGGUUUUCCACGUAAAUCGUGUGUCUCCGCUGUGAUUGAUUUCGUUUACUUUAUAUUUCUAUACGUCGAUUUCUAACAGCUAGGCUUCAAAUCGCAGUGUAGAACCACCUCACAGUGCUCAUGGUGUAGAUACUCCAUUGCCAUCGACACAUCUAGCAUGAUGUUCAGCCUCUCGAGAAACCUCAAAUGCAUACGUCCUUCAGAGUGCAGGAGCGCCUCUAAGCUCCCAUUGGACAUGUAUUGAAGCACCAGGGCUCUGAAGUCUAGGUUAGAACAAGUGUUGAGUAUCUUUAUCAGGUUGUGAUGCCGAGCCAUCCGAAGCACAUGGCAUUCAGCAUCAAAGCUUGCAAAGGCUUGAUCCAAAUGCUUGUGUAUAACUUUUACGGCAACCACCAAAUCAUCACUCAGCUGGCCCUUAUAAACUUUCCCAAAGCUUCCAGAGCCUAACAUGUUGCCCUCACUGAAUUUUUCAGUGGCACGAACCAGCUCAUGGUAGGAGACUAAGACUAACAGAUGGUUAUCGAUCAUGCAUGACGUCAACCAUACCAGCAGAACUUCCUUGACGAUGCUUCCUAGCUUUCUUGGUCACCAUUACACAUAGGCAGGAAGUGAAAGCGAGAGCUCCAACAGCUAUGACAAUUGCAGUUGGAAGCAAAUAUGUUAGCAAGUGGCGGUUGCGUCUGGGAGAUUUGGUUCGGCAUGGUGGAAACCCUAAGCAGGAAGCGCCACCACAUAGUAGUCCGGAGUUCCCCACCAAGGACUCCAGAGUGAUGUUUGAGAAUACACCUCUUUCUGGUAUAUGACCUUGCAGCUUAUUGUAGGACAAAUCUAAACUAGAGAGGAUGGAAAAAUUGGCCAAGUACUCCGGGAUUGUGCCAGAAAUAUUGUUAUGGGACAGGUCCAGAAUAUGCAAGUUCGUUAGUUUGUUCAAUGAGUUGGGAAUCGUGCCAUUGAAUGAAUUGACUGAUAGGUUCAAAUGUGUUAUCAUCUGAAUUUUCCCUAUUGAAUCUGGGAGACUUCCACCAAAGCGAUUGACUGAGAAAUCAAUAGCAUCAAUCUGCUUAGCUUAUAUCAACUGGUAAUAUACCACUCAACAAGUUUUGAGAUAGAUCUAGCUGGAGGAGGUUAUCAAGAUGGAAUAAGCUCAGCGGUACAACCGAUGUUAACUUGUUAUCAAAUAAGAAUAGGUACUCUAACUUGGUGAGGUUACCAAUGCCCUUGGGCAUGGAGCUAGAAAAUUCGUUGCUUUGAAGGUAUAACAUCACUAUAUAUAUUAGCUAACAUUCCAAUAUUUGAGGGCAUGGAGCCAGAGAAUCUAUUUUGACCAAGCUGGAGCAAUUGGAGACUGUUUAUUAUCAUGAUUGGCUCUGGAAUGGAACAAUGCAACUGGUUACCAUUAAGAUCUAGAUCAAGCAAAGAAGUUAAAUUCGAAAUGGCAGCUGGAAUCUCACCAGUUAACUUGUUGUCACGUGCAAUGAAGUAUUGCAACUUGGUUGAUAGGUUCCCCACAAAACCUGGAAGGCUCCCAGUGAAAUAAUUCCAAUGAAUUUCAAGGAGGAUCAUGACAAGUGGAAAUAUAUCUGGAACUCGAAAGAUUUCUCGGUGAAGAAAACCUACAAGCAUCUUAGUGGAAACCAGAGAGUACACCCUGCCUACAACUGGUUGUGGGCAUCGGCCUGUCAGUGCAAACAUAAAGUAUUUUUUUGGCUGCUAAUGAAGGACAGAAUAAGUACCAGGGAAUUGCUCAAAAGGAAGAAUAUGGUCCUUCAAGAUUUUACCUGUGUUCUGUGCAAUAACAAUACAGAAGAGUCUUUGCUCCAUCUUUUCCUUGAGUGCCCAUUUGCGGCCCAGUGUUGGGGUGCAAUCAACAUCCACAUAGCUCAAUAUCCAGACCCCUUCGAGUUUCUGCUGAGCUUCAGGAACCAGCUUGGAGUUCCUUUCUUCAUGGAAAUAAUAAUUCUAAUGGCUUGGUCAAUUUGGAAGUCGAGGAAUGAUCAAAUUUUUAGACAAUUGCAGCCAUCCUUACUUGGGGCCAAGCAUUCCUUCAAAGAAGAGUUUCAGCUGCUGCUUCUUAGACUAAGGAAGGACUACCUCCCCCUUGCUGAACAAUGGAUAGCAAAUCUAGCUUAGCUGUUCUUUUUGCAGUUUUAACACUGCUUUUCUUAGUAUCUUUUUUUGUUUCUUGAGCCCCCGGUGUUUAGGCUCACUAGGACCACUAGGAUCACUGGUUUCUGUUUUGCUCCUUUCUUGUACUGUUCACAAACCCUUCUUUUAAUAAAUGCUGUAGGGGUGAAAGCCCCUCCAGUUUAGUUCAAAAAAAAAAAGGUCCAGCAGAUUUCUGCAGUUGGAAAGAGCAGACAAGAACUCUAGAUCACCCUGCAAGAACCUGAAGGUACCGACACGUUGCUAGUCCAAUUGGAAUUUUACCAGUGAAACUAUUAGAGGAGACUGAGAACCACUGCAGAAGUGGCAGGUUGAAGCUUUGGUUGCCCAGGAUUGGUCCGGUCAAGCCGUUCAUGGCUAGAGCAACAAGACCCAGUGUAGAAAUAUAAUGUUGUAGAUGCCUGGCAGCGCAACCCCGUAAGAUUGUUCACUUGCAGGUUCAGGUAUUGGAGCACUUGUAAGGAACCUAUGCAACCAGGUAUCGGCCCUGAAAGGCUGUUGUUGCCGAUGUUCAGAUAAGUUAGCAAAUGUGUGUUGUUGAAUAGAUGAACCGGAAUUGGGCCUGUGAGACCAUUCCGGCGGAGAUUGAUGCUGCCAAGGCUGUGCAGGCCCUGCAGCUCUGUCGGAAUCGGACCAAACAGCUGGUUGAACUCGAGGUCGAGAAUUUGGAGCCUCGUGAGGUUUCCUAAAGUGGCUGGGAUGCCACAGACAGAGCAUUGCAGCCAAGAUCAAGGAGCUUGAGGCGACACAGCCUUCCGAUCUCGCUUGGGAUUGCACCGGCGAGGCUGGUGUUGGUGAGAUUGAGCACAGAGAGGAAAGAGAGGUUACCGAGGUGAGGGCUGAGCACUCCCUGGAGGGCAACACCCGGUAACUCUACAGCGGUCACGCGCCGCCGGUGCCUACUGCACGAGGACGCCAACCCAGUAGCAGAACAGCGUGCCGGUGGUCCAGUUCCUGCCAAGGACGCCGAGAGGAUCCGAGAGCUGGGCCUUGAAAGCCAGCAGCUCAAUGCCGUCGGAGCUGCUCCCGUUCAGAUGAACUGGAGAUGGAGAUGCAGCACGACCAUGCACAGUGGACAAGGCGAUCAACAGAAUGAUGGGUAUGCAAGCUAGAAACCCAAGCGCCAUGGUUUUGGGACUUUAGUUCUGGGCUGGGUGCCAAGCAUUGGCCACAAGAGAGCUUUAAUAAUUUACUUCACUCAAGGCCAUGUACCUGAAUGCAAAAGCAACUGCUGCUUUCAAUGGCGAAGACUACUGCUCAGCAAGUGUGCAUGAAACAUUGACUGGAUCAACAAUAAACAGUUUCACCUUUGACAAAAGAGACCACCACAAUAACACUAGUCAAAAAGAGUAGAUUGUAGGUACUCAGCCCUAUUUGGUUGGUCGUGGUAAAGUUUACCGCCUACCACAUUGAAUGUUUGAACACAUGCAUGAAAUACUAAAUAUAGACUAUUUAUUAAACUAAAAACACAGCUAGAGAGUAAUUUACGAGAUAAAUUUUUUGAGCCUAAUUAGUCCAUGAUUGGACACUAAUUGUCAAAUAAAAUAAAAAUAUAACCGUACCUGUUAAACUUUAACAACAUUGAAUCUCCAACCAAACACCCCCUAGUACAUGAUAUGGAGAUCAAAGUUGACGGACUGCUAGUGGGGAUAUUGUGUACUUGUUCUCCAUGGCUGCCCUUGGGAGCGUCGCCGCCGUGCUGUACUCCAUGGCAGGCGUGGAGGUGCUGCAGUCAUGCGGCCAAGGCAAGCUUGGGACGACCAUGGCGAGUGGGCCACACGGGCGACACUGGACGUUGGGGGCAUGGGGAGGCGGGCGAGCGUGGGAGAGCUAGCACAGAGGGGCUCGCUGUCGAUGGGAGGGGUCGCGGGUGUUGGUGGCUAUGGCGCUGCCGUGGGGGUGGAGAAGAAGCGCUCGAUCCGUUUUGUGCGAGCCCGUUCCGUCCAAGCGUGCAUCUACGAAAGGAAAAGGAAAGGGCAAGGGUAAAUGAGGCCUUGUUUAGUUCUAAAAAAUUUUGCAAAAUUUUUUAGAUUCCCUGUCAUAUCGAAUCUUUAGACGCAUGCAUAGAGUAUUAAAUAUAGACGAAAAUAAAAACUAAUUGCAUAGUUUGGUCGGAAUUGAUGAGAUGAAUCUUGUGAGCCUAGUUAGUACAUAAUUGGACAAUAUUUGUCACAAACAAACGAAAGUGCUACAGUACCUAUUUUGCAAAAUUUUUUGGAACUAAACAAGGCCUGAGUCACAAAAUUUCGUUUAAGGGCAUCAGAUGGCAUUCUAGCGGGCGUGUUUUAUAAUGGCAAGCUAGCAAAGCCCCAUUGUGGGAUAAUAUAUCACCGAAACUCAUUUUUCAUAAUGGUCGUGUCGAACAAGCAGCAAAGGGAACAAAGCUGACCACUAGGCUGUUUCUUGUGACCUUGUGGGCAGCUCAGCCGUGGGCUUCUGGCCCAAUUAAACAAUUGGAUGUACAUGUAUAUACUGUGUAUAUUGGUUAGCAAAUGUCUAACUCACUCAAAGAAAAAUAUAUACUAUGUAUAUGUUGCUCAAAAAUUAUGUAUACUAUGUAUAAUUAUUUUUUCUCCUAAAAAAUAUAAGUUUAUUUUCCUUACUAGCAAAUCCACCUUGAGUAUUCCAUACAAUACAGGGGAAUAUCCCUUUCAUCACUCAUGCACGAUAGUAGUUGGGCCCCAAGGGCCAGAAUAAAAUCUUAGAACAUCUUCAAAAGACUCUCUAUACCUUUUCUUAUUGACAUAAAUAGAGAUUUUGAUGAAAAAUAUUAUCCACUAGUUUCUUUUGUUAGAUAUUCAAAUAUUGUCAUCCUGCAUUUUGGACUUUCUUUGCUAGCCAAAGUUAGAGGGUGAGCUUGGCUCUCUAGAAUGCGCCAGGAUAGAAAUCUAUUGGAGAGCAAAAAGAUAUAAAAAUGAAAUUUACUCAAAUAGCUCUCCAAGUGAUGAUUUAAACAAUGAGAUUAAGAGAGAUCCUUGAAAAUGCUCUAGCAACUGUUGGUGGCUGGAUAAAUGUGUUAUUUUUGAUCCAUAUGCUACCUAUAUGACUGGGUGUUUUGUUUGGAUCCACAUGUCAAAAGGUGAAUGUAUUGAUGGAAUGACGACGGUUUCUACAAUGCCCUUCCUCUUAUAUUGUGACAUUAGUAGGCGGGAGGGCAAAAGUAUCUUUUGCAAUUUAUAGUUGUUAUUAGCUGAGUUGGAAUAACUAAUGAGAUAUUUGUUAACUAGGUAUCCAACUAACAAUUAGCUGCUUUCAUUUAGAUUCACCCUAGUUGAUUUUUAGCUGGUUGUAUCUGCUAAAGAGGUCAUAAUGAAGUUGAUGGAACGUGGACAUGAAAUUAUAAUGGGGAGAGAGAUAGGGGAACAUAAAAAAUGAAGAACUUGAGAGCCAUAGCACUUGCAUAGCAAAGGGUACUCACUUAGGCCUGGCCAGUCAGUGAGGAGCUUUGUGAUAUUAUUUCUAAGAUUCUUAUCAUAUAUCAUGAAAUGAAACACCCAUCAAUAAAAAAAAGUUUCACUCUAUGGUUUUAUAAAUGUUUAAUUCCAUAACUCGUAGAGAGUUGUAUCUAGAUGAAAGUCACUUCUCUCUCUCUCUUUUAAAAAUAUUGCUAUGUCAGCAAAAAUACUUAUAUUAUAGUCUACUAAAUGCGGAUGAGACUCACAUGAAACUGCCCACUACGAUUGGCCUUAUGUGGCAACUCUCCUCCGUUAAUGUCCAGUAAUACCCUCUAAAUUAGGGCUGCAAGUUACCUAAGUAUUGGCGGACUAUAUUUUCUAAGGUUCAGUAAUAGCCCUAAAUCUUAGCCACUAGCUACUUGUUUUAUGAUAUUUGGAACCAGUUAGUCAUUGCCUCAUUGGAUCAUCCAAUUCUCUCACACUGCUCUCUCUCUCUCUUCUUCCUCUUUUAUCAUCUCUUAUCUGCCACACUUUCUCCUCACAUGGUUGCGCUCUUUUCCUAUUGUUUCCUCGGUUCCUCCUAUGGCACCUAUUGAGAACCUCAUGAUAUAUGUGGCCUAAAAACAUCUUCAACAUCCCCUUUCCCCUUUUACUUAUUUUUUAUAGGGAUCACGAAAAUUGAAUUAUAGGUUAUAGGGGAAGAAAAAUCCAUCACCUUUAUUUAUAUAGGACCCACAUGUCAGUGACACACCUCUCAUUUCUUCCUUCUUUUCUCUUUUUCCUCUCCCUUCCUCUCUGAGUGCUCGUCUAGCGCCCUAAAUGCUCGGGUCAGCGGCACAGUUGGUCCGAGCAAAUGCCCACCGGCUGCAGUGGGUGGUGCGGCCAGCACGAGCGCGCUCCUGCCGGCACAAUAGUGGAUUGGCAGCUUAUGCCCUCGCCCAACUAGCACGGUAGUGGUUUUCAACGUCCCACACACUCGCAGCAGCGGCCCACAUGUCCAUGGUGGUGACGCAGCUCCACCCAUCUUGGGGGGCCAUGUCAUCGAAGGAGGAAAAAAGGAUUGAGAAAAUGGUGGCAGAUCCCCUUCAUUUGAGAUUAAGGUGGUAUUUUGAGAGAUUGAGAAAAUUUUUAGGAAAAAUGACAUCCGCAAGAGCAUGUUUUUUUCCUUCAAUGCCCUUUAUUGUUGUUGGUUUAGGGAAAGGAUAUUGGUUUUUCUCAAUCAGCUGGAUCUCCAACAGAUCACUUACUCAUCCCCAAUACUAAAAAUAUGAAAUAUAAGGGAUUACAGUUGCUCCAAGAUUGUAUAUCCAAUACAUAAAAGUUUUAAGUAAUACCUAAAAUCCAACCCCUCUUCCUCGAAUGUCAGUGAUCCACUCUCCCUCCCCUAUCUACUUUAAAGGUAUUGGUAAUUUGUUGAGAGAGGAGAAGAAAAGACUAUGUUACUAAUAAUAGGAAAUCGUCAAUUUAGACUUCCAGAGAACAUAUGAUAAAUAAUAACCCAUUAGAGAUGCUACUGCCCCUUCUUGAUGUAGUCCAUAGCAAGUUACCCAUAAUCUUAUGGACUAUCCAUUGAGAAUAAAAAAUAUUACUUUAUUUUUUUUCUCCUUCCUCUCUAUUGGUCUUGUACAGGACUGUAGAGAUGAAUAAUUUUUUAUUUUAGAUAGAACCCACCUUAUAGACUACUUGUUGGCUUAAAUAUCGUGGAAACAAAACCAUAAUUAUACGCUGAUUAUGUUGGUCUGUAUAUGGAUUACUUGGUCUAUAUAUAUUAUGGUUGCUCUAAUACCCCUUGAAAAUGAUACUGCGCGGCUGUUCGUUCUAUCCAACACCACGCACAUGGACCUAUGGCCCAAUUAGACCAACGCAGAUGUCACCAAAGAAAGAAGAUCGUGUUGGUUCCUCUGACGCCUCAUCAUUUCCAUCGCCUCUGCAUGCACCGGCCGCUCGCUGCUACGCUCGCCGCUGCUUUCGCUGCUACGCUUGCUGCUGCGCUCAUUGAUGCUCUCCAGGAUGGACGCAUGCUCGCAUCCAGCUUGCUGCUACGCCUGCCUAUUCGCGCUCUUUCCCUCCCUCCUCCCUCAGCAACCUCCCUGCUCCCUCAUCAGACACAAGGAUGACGGCGGCUCCAGCAAGAUAGGUCAGGUCUUUUCUAGAUUUGAGCCUCCUCCUCCUCCUUCUUCUCCUCCUCCUCCUCCUCCUAAUCCUCAUCCUUAUCCUUAUCCUCCUCCUCCUCUAGAUUUAAGGGACACAGUGGUGACUAAAGGUCUGGUGAACUCCUGCUUCCUCCGGCGAGCUUGAUGGUGAUGGGCUAGGGGUUGGAUCAGAGCCUAUCCCCUUACUGUUUUUGCACGUCUUUUUUCGUUGUUUCUCCGUGUUAUAAUGGUUUUUUAAUAUUGUGAUAGAUGAUUUUUAAAUAUUGUAAUGAGAUUCUUGGGUUCUUUCAACAGAUGACUUUCGAAUAUUUCCUUUCCAUUUUCAUGGUUAAUUUUGCGAUGUUGCAAUACUAUUAUUUGAGAUGGUGCAACACAUAAUUUUGGAUGGUGCAACACAUAAUUUUUAUGUUGCAAUAUAUGUUUUUUCGAUGUUGCAGUAUAUAUUUUUCGAUGUUGCAGUACUUUAUUUUUGAUAUUGCAUCACAUAAUUUUCAAGUUGCAGUACAUAUUUUUCGAUGUUGUUAUAUAUUGUUUUUGAUGUUACACUACAUAUUUUUAUGAUAUUGCAACUUUUAUAUUUUGAUGUUGCACUUGCGAAUAUGUUACGUUGGGGACGGGGACAGAGGCGUGAUGGGGAACGGGGCCCAGUGGGGGAAAAAGGCGUGAUGGAGAAUGGAGUGCUGUGGGGGAACUGGGUGCAGUGGGGAACAGGGACGGGGGGCAUGAUGGGGAACGGGGAUAGGAUGCGGUGGGGAACAGAGUCAGGAGCGCGGGUGCAGAACGGGAUGCGAUGGAGGAACGAGAUGCAGUUAGAGAGCGCUACCUGGAACGUGCGUCCGGACGCUGCCUGCAUCCUAACGUCCGGGCGCUAGGUAUUCCGCCCUUGCACUAGUUACCUCACCCCUAGACCCCCUCCACCAGGCCUCGCAGCUUCUUAUUCUCGAUCUCACUCACCAAUCGCUAGCGGUCGUCGGAUGCGGGAUGAGCGGUAAGAGCAUCUCCAGCAAUCCCCCUUUCCUAACUCCCAGUGAGAAAAAAUAUUUAUUUUAGAGAUCUUAUAACUUCAGCAGUUUUUCAAACCCAAUCCCAAUGAGAAAUUUUUCUCAGUCCUUCAAAUCCUAGUCUCCUACCUCUCAAAUAAAUGAGAGACCUUCCUCCCCUAAUCCACUGUUUUUUUAUUGGAGAUUGGAUUUUCUCAUUCUGCUAGAGAAAAGACUUUUAAAAACCUUAAAAAAAUGUUUUGUAUCUCCUCCGAUAACUAGGUCGGAAUUUACUCCAACUACGAUGCUCUAACUUCGUGCUCGUGCAUGUGUGGGCCCCGUCCAAGAAACGGAACACACGGGUGGCUCUGGUGCCACCGCGGUGCCAUCCCCAUCCGGGCAUGCAUGCUAUUGCUUGCUGCCUGUGUCAAUAAGUCACAGCAAGCGACAAGGGAGCAGGGCUCUCUUCAGGAAUCACAGGAGCACGAGGCGAUCCACCCGCAGUACCGGACGAUCACGAGCCUGUGAGUAAUUUGGAUGGAGAAACAUCACCACGGUCUUAUUUAGUUCUAUUUUUUUUUGCAAAAUAGACAUUAUAGUACUUUCGUUUGCAUUUUACAAAUAUUGUCCAAUCAUAAAAUAACUAGGCUCAAAAGAUUCGUCUCACAAAUUAUAGAUAAACUGUUCAAUUAAUUAUUUAUUUUAUCUAUAUUUAAUACUAUAUGCAUUUAUUGUAAGAUUUAGUGUGACGAAAAAUCUAGAAUAUUUUAUAAAAAAAUUUAGAAACUAAACAAAGCCCAGAUCAGACAACAGUGGCUCGGUGCCACUUGGCCACUGCCAGUAUGCCACCUUUGAACCGGCCGAGUCUUCGUCGGCUCUCUACGCCAGGGCUAUAGAUGUACAUUUGGCCCGUUAAAUUUAGCCCGGUCCGUGGCCCGGCCUUUUGGCCCGGUCCGUGGCACGGCCCGGUCUGGUGUUUGCGGGCCACGGGCGGCCCGGCCCGUUGCCGGACCGGGCCAUGGGCCGCACCCUCGGCCCGCAGCACGGUGGUGGCCCGGUCGGCCCGUGGCCCGACACGGCCCGCUCAUUUUGUUCUAUAUGUUGUGAUUUUGUGCUCUUUCUCUUUGAUAUAACUUGUGAAUUGAGAUAUGUUUUGCUUGAAACAAUGAAAUUGUAUGCUGCUUCUUUCAUAUAUGUUGUGAUUUGUGAAAAAAAUUGACCUUUGUUAAAAAAAACUGAUAAAUUAAGACAUGAGAUGCUUGUCGGGCUGUGGGCCGGCCCGGCCCGACCGGGGCGGCACGGCCCGGAAAAAUGGCCCACGGGCCGGACCAUGGGCCGCACCCUCGGCCCGCAGCACGGUGGUGGCCCGGCCCGCGGCCCGACGUGGCCCGCCCCGUGCCGGCCCGGUCCGGCCCGUUGUACACCUAUAGCCAGGGCCUCAAGUCCUUAGCGGGAUUUUUUUAAUAUAUAUGUAUAUAUAUAUAUAAAACUCUCUCCAACUUUGCUCAAAAGCUCGAAUUUUCAUGGAAAAAACCAUAUUUUUUUAUCUCUUCAACCUCAGUCACAAGAGAAGUAGAUUGGACUACAUCGAUAAUUUGAUAGCCGGCGCGGUUAUACUUAAUAAAAAAAGUAUGGACACAUUUUUUAAUAUCAAAACAAAUUCCAAAUAUUUUUUUUGGAAAAGUUAUGCAACUAAAACCCAAAUAAGUUUAAGAUCUUUUCUUAAUUAAAUCAUGCUCUAUCUUGUGGUUGGUCUGGUUUAGAAAUAUUUUAUUUUUAUAUGGCCUUUUGGUGUCUUUUUCUAGUGCAUGCUCUUCUUUUAUGUUAAAACUAGACUAUGAUUAUGACCUAGAUUAUGUAAAAGUUUAUGUGACUUCGAGGACGCCACAACUCCACGAAGUGACACGUAACUAACUCAUACUUGAUCUUAUUUAGUAUGAACACAUGCGUCACUUGCACAUGAUGCAGUAAUUCAAAAUUCAUCGAACCUCACAUCUAUGAACACAAGCACACACAAACCUCAUGUGUCAAUUUUGUGCUAGUAAUUCAAAAUUCACCAAAUUAAAUUCAUUUUUAUGUUUGUAAACAAGAAACAGAAAACAUGAACUAUUGGUAUAAGAUGUUUCUUUGCAAUAGGUCGAUCGAGUCUACAUCAACCACAGGUAGCUAGAUUGCUUAAUUCCCAUCUUCUUGUGUCGAGUAGCGACUUGUAUCCAUAUUAAAUAGGAUCAAGUAUAAGAUGUUUACAUCAAACUUAUGCAGAAUGCAGUCAUCAAAGUCACUUAGCUAGCUUGAACGACUUGGGUCAUCAACAUAGACCACAAUUGUAACAAAUAACGAGUGUUUUCACUAGCAAAUAACCAUCAAAAGAAGACCAUAUAAGAUUCAAGUAAUUCUAGGCUAGGUGCUACAAUAUAAACUACUACUAUAAAUCUUAUAUUAAAUAUUUCAACCAAUAACAAUUUUCAAAUAUAUAUAGGUGGUUAGUAGCGCUCCCAAAAAUGGACAACAAUUCUAGGGCAUCUAGAAACACCAACUGCCUCUAGAAAUUCUACAAACAAAUUGCCCCUUGAACCAUUUUAGGGUCAUUCUUUUAUGUAACCAUAGCUAGAAAAAUGAGACGCGUCUCUGUAACCGUUUAUGUUGUAUUGAUAGAGCAUGUCUCUAAUAAUCAUCGUCGGAUGAUACAAAUAGUCUUCUAUUCCCUUCACAGUAUCGUUUGGUCACACGUUGCAUCAUGUGACUUUAAUUUCUUCACUGCCACUUGUCAUUUUUGUAUAAUCCAGUGGCCUUCAGUUCUCCUCGGCGGAUGAUUCCGUGACUUGAAAGUGGACCUAUCUUCAUAUGGUUAUCAUCGUAUGAUCAAGUGGACAUAUUUCACUUGAUUUGGUGCUUGUUUUUGGCUUCAUUUUUUUCUCAUGGCCUUGUUCGUUCUUUUUACAGCUUGUUUCUUAGCAUCCAUAGGAUUUAUAUAAAUUUGCAAACAUAUCUCAACACCAAUUAAUGUAAGGUAUAUCGAUUGAAUAACCAAAAACCACAAUAGAAUAUGGCACUGUGCCCCCAUGUACUCCUUGCAACUAGUUUGGCAAGUUACGACGCAACGGGGAAAUGAUUUUACUAUUUAUUUUUUUACCAAAAAUUUCCUAUAUAUACGUCCUCCAUCCUAAAAUACAAGGGACGAUUUAGAGUUUAAAAUUUGUACCAAAAAUACAAUCUUUAUAGCGAGAAAAAUACUGAGAUUCCUUAAACUUGACGUCAUCUAAAACACUUGAACUAUUCCCAGUCCAAAUUAAACUUAUCGACCGAAUCUAACAACCAUUUAACAUUGUACAUGCCACGGCUUUUCAGUUAAGCAAAUAGACAUUAUAGCCAUGUGUUUCGUCCGAUGCAUCAUACCCAUAUAGGUUUCAGAAAACUUUAUCCAUCCUCUGAACGCUGAAGCGUUAUCGUUGUACAGAGAGGCAAAGAAUAGCCGCCAGCGAGGCAAAAAUAGGACACGCGGUAUGUAUUUAAUUAUUAUUAUAAGGAGCCAUCUCGAAACAUGCAUAUAUAUAUUAUUUUCCCUCAGAUCUCGCCGCGCCACGCAUACAUUAUCCCAGACUUUUGCAGUAGCGAGCUUGAUCUUUGCAGUAAACGACUAGCAGUAAUACUACUAG
Molecule: long non-coding RNA, 37641 nt
Filed under: Sorghum bicolor (sorghum)
Lineage: Eukaryota; Viridiplantae; Streptophyta; Magnoliopsida; Poales; Poaceae
Description: long non-coding RNA (SBIC_LNC013560)
Source: RNAcentral